This 503-nucleotide ribosomal RNA is filed under the name Trichomeloe deflexus. RNAcentral describes it as "partial large subunit ribosomal RNA". It matches the Rfam family "Bacterial large subunit ribosomal RNA", at positions 1797 to 2575 of the family's 2925-position model. Lineage: Eukaryota; Metazoa; Arthropoda; Insecta; Coleoptera; Meloidae. The record is from RNAcentral.
CGCCUGUUUAUCAAAAACAUGUCUUUUUGUUAAUUAUAUAAGGUUUGGCCUGCUCCAUGAUUAGUAUUAAAUAGCCGCAGUAUUUUGACUGUGCAAAGGUAGCAUAAUCAUUAGUUUUUUAAUUGAAAGCUGGAAUGAAUGGUCGGAUGAGAAAGAAUCUGUCUCACUCUAAAUCAAUUGAAUUUUAUUUUUAAGUUAAAAAGCUUAAAUUUUAUAGAAAGACGAGAAGACCCUAUAGAGUUUAAUAGACAGUGGAUUUAGUCAUAUAAAGAUUUUAGUUUGGCUAUUUUGUAGUCUAUUUUGUUGGGGUGACAUUAGAAUUGAUUAAACUUCUUAUUGGCUAGACAUUGAUUUAUGAAUAAUUGAUCCUUGAUUUUGGAUUUAAAGAACAAAUUACCUUAGGGAUAACAGCGUAAUCUUUUUGGAGAGUUCUAAUCGAUAAAAGGGAUUGCGACCUCGAUGUUGGAUUAAAGUUAAGAUUUGGUGUAGAAGCUGGGAUCUUG